RNAcentral lists this ribosomal RNA (551 nucleotides) under Micrococcus luteus. RNAcentral's name for it is "bacterial SSU rRNA". It matches the Rfam family "Bacterial small subunit ribosomal RNA", at positions 82 to 647 of the family's 1533-position model. The record is from RNAcentral. Lineage: Bacteria; Bacillati; Actinomycetota; Actinomycetes; Micrococcales; Micrococcaceae.
GCUGGGUGGAUUAGUGGCGAACGGGUGAGUAACACGUGAGUAACCUGCCCUUAACUCUGGGAUAAGCCUGGGAAACUGGGUCUAAUACCGGAUAGGAGCGCCUACCGCAUGGUGGGUGUUGGAAAGAUUUAUCGGUUUUGGAUGGACUCGCGGCCUAUCAGCUUGUUGGUGAGGUAAUGGCUCACCAAGGCGACGACGGGUAGCCGGCCUGAGAGGGUGACCGGCCACACUGGGACUGAGACACGGCCCAGACUCCUACGGGAGGCAGCAGUGGGGAAUAUUGCACAAUGGGCGAAAGCCUGAUGCAGCGACGCCGCGUGAGGGAUGACGGCCUUCGGGUUGUAAACCUCUUUCAGUAGGGAAGAAGCGAAAGUGACGGUACCUGCAGAAGAAGCACCGGCUAACUACGUGCCAGCAGCCGCGGUAAUACGUAGGGUGCGAGCGUUAUCCGGAAUUAUUGGGCGUAAAGAGCUCGUAGGCGGUUUGUCGCGUCUGUCGUGAAAGUCCGGGGCUUAACCCCGGAUCUGCGGUGGGUACGGGCAGACUAGAGU